GAAGUCCUAGAAUUUUACCUUUUUAUCAGAUUCUUAUAUUUGAUCCCACGAUUGUUUACUUAUUUUUGAGUCUCUUAACAGUGAAUAUAUUUUGCAGGCAGCUGUUCUUAUGUGUGUGUGUGUGGGUUUGUGGGCUGGACUUAUCAUCGAUUUUUGUAACAGAGUAAUGUGUACAUGUAACUGUAUGCUCAUUAUGCGGAACUUUUUCUUCUAUCAAUCGUUUAAAUUUUCAAUUAUUCUACUGUAUACUCAGUAUGCGGAACUUGUUCUUCUUUUAAUCGUUUAAAUUUUCAGUUAUUCUGAUUUGGGUAAUGCAGAAACCGGAGUCUGUAAUAGUGAAAGAGAGAAGCCUUUCGGUGAUUCUUUUGGCCGGUGGGAAGGUACAAGGAUGGGAGUCCUCUUUUGUCACCAUUUUGAUACAUCAACUAGUAUUUUUGGAGUGUGAGGAGGCUUUUUGUUAUGUUGGUGCAACUUGGUCAGUAUGCUGAAACAGUAUCUCCCGCUUUUAAGCCAGCCAAUUGCAUUGUGCAGGUAACUUAUUCAACCAAUGCUUUUAUAUGAUUUUACAUUGCGUCGAUUGAGCUGAUGAACUCACUGAAAUGCUGAUUCCGUAUGUUUCUUUAGAACCUAAUGACAAGGAUUCCUUUAGUGUAGUUUCCGGCCCUUAUGGUUGUUUAUGUUUGUCAUCUUUGCUUUUUUUUUGUUACUCUUCUGAAUGAGUAUUUUGCCAACCCCGUGUAUCUUCUAUACUUUCUCCCGCAUGCCUCAAGUGAACGAAAUCAUUGUAGUUUGUGAUCUGUCCUACAGGGAUGUUAUUGAAGGACCCAUUCCUCUCUUUCUAACGUGCAGUUGCCUCUUUGACGUGUAUUUCUGUUGGGUGUAGUGCAGUAGAACACAUGUAUUCUGAUUUGGUUUCAGUUGUGUUCUCAGAUGCCAAGCAUAAGAUCCAGACGGAACUCAAAUUCACCCUAUCUGGGAAGGAAAGACAAGAUUCUGUCUACAGUGGAUUCCAGGUGCACGCACAUCAUUGUUUUGUCUUGUGAAAAGUCACUCAGUUGUAGCGUACAAUUCAACCUACCUACUUAACACAUUAUUCUGAAGUCUUCAUUCUACUUCAUCCCUAUGUUGGUUGGCACUAGCUAUCACAAUAUUUGAAACUAAGAAGGCCGUCUGGUUAUUUUGUUGGAUAUGCUCCUUUUUAAUGGAAACAAAAUUUCUUAUUUGUCAACAUCACUCUUGUGCAUUGGGGUGUCAUCUAUGCUGCCUCUGUAAUGAUGGAGAAUAGAAAGAAAGCACACUCCCCUCUACAACACAUUUCACUCUUAGACUUCUUCUCUAGAACAUUAAAGGGAAUUGGUGGUGCGAGUGUGAAAAAUAUUGAUAAUAGUGUGAAACUCACCCUCCUUUUGUCUUACUUUAAUGGCUAAGCAUUCAUCAUAUGCAUGUUUCCAGACGAAAGAAUGCCUGCUUAAUAGCUGAUUAUGAAUUUAACUUUUCUCCGCGUUUGUAAAUUCGUUGUAGCAUACAAGUCAACUGAAGUUUUUGUUUUUUGUUUUUUUUUUGGAUAAAAAAAUUAGUAUUUUCAAUAGGUGAUCUUCAACUGAACUGUAUUAUUGGAAAAUGAGGAUGUGUAAGUAUGGAUAACUUAUCACCAGAUGCAACUCUGUCUUCAGGCUAUUAAUUUGACCUCUGAACUUUUUUGCAUCCAUGAUUCUGCAAGACCUCUGGUAUCAUCAGGAUUCAGGAGGUGUUGAGAAGGUCAGACUUACCUUACUUGUAUAUCUAAUUCAUUCACGUUAUUCUCUUUUGAGUUUUGACAUUCUAUAUAAAUAGACCACCAUUUGGUGUGUAAAUCGCUAUGCGUUGUGUCAAAGGUAUAGAGAAAUACUGCUUAUAUAAAGGCAUCACUGUUUGGAACUAUUAUAUAAAUGUUUUUACACAUCCUUACUGUAGUGCAGAAUGGGUUGGUGGUUGUGAAUUCAGUUAUUUUGGUGUAUUCUUGGAGGUUAUACGUGAAGUCAGAUUUCUUCACUGUCACUACUGCUAAUGGUUGCUUUUCAGUUAAAUCUGCCAACAACUCCCUUUAUGAUUUCUGAUAUUCUCAUAAUUCUCAAUGGAAGUUGAUUUGGAAUCUUGAUAUUCCUCCCAAGCUGAAAACUUUCCUUUGGACUAUGCUUCAUAAAAAGCUGUUAACUAAUGUUCAAAGGGUCACUAGAAGAUUUACCAAUGAUGCUGCGUCCUAUAUGCCACUCUGCUGAUGAAACUCUUCUGCAUCUUCUAAGGGAUUGUCCUAGAUCUAUGCAGAUUUGGAGAGCUUUCCCUAAGCGCUGGUAUAAUUUCUAACUCUUUUUCCCUGGAUUGGAAUGGUUGGAUAAAUGCUCAGCUGCAUUGCCAUGCUUUUGUUAAAAAUAAUAUCAUGGAUUUCUGUUCCUUCUUCCUUCACCAUCUUCAAUUUGGGAACAGAGAAAGUUGUCAAGAACCGGUAAGCUCUGCUUCUUUCUCCUCUAAAUCAGUGUCAUCAAUGAUCUUUUGAAAUCUUCAUAUCUAUGGCCUUAUAUUGAAUCUUAAUUUAAGCCAUGUGAAAACAUUAUGGGAUCACUUUUGCUACAUACAUGUGUAUGGAAGUCUUUGAAUUUUACCUUUUUUCAGAUUAUUAUAUUUGAUCCCAUGAUUGUUUACUUAUUUUUGAGUCUCUUAACAGUGAAUAUAUUUUGCAAGCAGCUGUUCUUAUGUGUGUGUGUGUGGGUUUGUGGGCUGGACUUAUCAUCGAUUUUUGUAACAGAGUAUAAUACCAAUAACGUGUACAGGGAACUGUAUACUCAUUAUGUGGAACUUGUUCCUCUAUCAAUCG
This 2851-nucleotide long non-coding RNA is filed under the name Fragaria vesca (wild strawberry). Its description in RNAcentral is "long non-coding RNA (FVES_LNC002460)". Lineage: Eukaryota; Viridiplantae; Streptophyta; Magnoliopsida; Rosales; Rosaceae. The record is from RNAcentral.